RNAcentral lists this long non-coding RNA (730 nucleotides) under Homo sapiens (human). RNAcentral's name for it is "HSALNT0289527". The record is from RNAcentral. Lineage: Eukaryota; Metazoa; Chordata; Mammalia; Primates; Hominidae.
AUUUCAAAUACGGUGACUGUUUCUUACGUGGACGACGUUGUGUUGAACAUGGGAUCUACACAUUAAGAAACAAAGACAUGAACGUCUCCAUGGAAAGACUGGGAAAAUGGAUUGCAGGUUCUAGCAGGAUGUCAUAAUAAAUGGUGCAUAUCCAGAGUGCAAGAUGAUUCAGUCUCACCAAGAACACUGAAAGUCACAUGGCUACCAGCAUUAUUGUGAUAAGAACUACUAUUUUGGGAGAUAGUUUAGCAAAGGUGCCAUGUAGAAAUUGAUUAAGUCAGAGGUAUCUUUAACUUGCCACCACAGAGAAGAGAUUAAUUUCAUAUACUUCCAUUGAGAAGAGAGAUAAGAAUACAAAACCAAGCUGAUUUGCAGGAGUAAACUUGAUAUUCAAAUACUAUUUCCUGAAUGACAUUUUCUGAGACAUGCUAAUUGUAAUUACUUUCAGCUUCAAAACAUAAUAAAUUUAUCUCAUAGUAAGCAUAUAGAUGGAAUAAAUAAAAUGUGAACUUAGGUAAAUUAUAAAUUAAUAAAGUAUAUUUUUAAAAUUUCCAUUUUAAUUUCUGUUUAAAUUAGAAUAAGAAACAAAAACAACUAUGUAAUACGUGUGCAAAGCCCUGAACUGAGAUUUGACUUUACCUUGAGCUUUGUCAGUUUACGAUGCUAUUUCAGUUUUGUGCUCAGAUUUGAGUGAUUGCAGGAAGAGAAUAAAUUUCUUUAAUGCUGUCAA